This 497-nucleotide ribosomal RNA is filed under the name uncultured bacterium. RNAcentral's name for it is "partial 16S ribosomal RNA". It matches the Rfam family "Bacterial small subunit ribosomal RNA", at positions 28 to 507 of the family's 1533-position model. The record is from RNAcentral.
GAUGAACGCUGGCGGCGUGCCUAAUACAUGCAAGUCGAGCGAACGGACGAGAAGCUUGCUUCUCUGAUGUUAGCGGCGGACGGGUGAGUAACACGUGGAUAACCUACCUAUAAGACUGGGAUAACUUCGGGAAACCGGAGCUAAUACCGGAUAAUAUUUUGAACCGCAUGGUUCAAAAGUGAAAGACGGUCUUGCUGUCACUUAUAGAUGGAUCCGCGCUGCAUUAGCUAGUUGGUAAGGUAACGACUUACCAAGGCAACGAUGCAUAGCCGACCUGAGAGGGUGAUCGGCCACACUGGAACUAAGACACGGUCAAGACUCCUACGGUAGGCAGCAGUAGGGAAUCUUCCGCAAUGGGCGAAAGCCUGACGGAGCAACGCCGCGUGAGUGAUGAAGGUCUUCGGAUCGUAAAACUCUGUUAUUAGGGAAGAACAUAUGUGUAAGUAACUGUGCACAUCUUGACGGUACCUAAUCAGAAAGCCACGGCUAACUACGUG